UACGAGUGCCCCAAGCGUUAUCCGGAAUCACUGGGCGUAAAGGGUGUGUAGGUGGCAUUAUUAGUCUCCUGUUAAAACUUUCGGCUUAACCGAAAGAGCGCGGGGGAAACGGUAAUACUAGAGGGUGUGAGAGGUCUGUGGAACUCAAGGUGUAGGGGUGAAAUCCGUUGAUAUCUUGGGGAACACCAAAUGCGAAGGCAGCAGACUGGCACAUUACUGACACUGAGACACGAAAGCGUGGGUUUCGAACGGG
This 253-nucleotide ribosomal RNA is filed under the name uncultured bacterium. RNAcentral describes it as "partial 16S ribosomal RNA". It matches the Rfam family "Bacterial small subunit ribosomal RNA", at positions 524 to 776 of the family's 1533-position model. The record is from RNAcentral.